This 3200-nucleotide unclassified non-coding RNA is filed under the name Hevea brasiliensis (rubber tree). The record is from RNAcentral. Lineage: Eukaryota; Viridiplantae; Streptophyta; Magnoliopsida; Malpighiales; Euphorbiaceae.
GAGAGAACCUGAGAAUUUAGGAUUUCAAAAAUACAUAGGAAAGGAGCCCUCUCAUGGCUGCUAGUGUUAGGUUUUGAUGGAGAACAAGGGAAAAAGAAAAAAAAUAUGAAACUCCUUAUAAUUUUAACCAGAGGAGAAAUUGAAAAUAAAAUUAAAAACACAAGAAAAAUUCCGAAAAAAAAAAUGUUAAAUACUCUUUUUCCAACAUUACUCAGUAUUUUACAUUCCUAACCCUGGAAAAAGGUACCAAAAUAGGAAAUAAAGGGAUCAAAUAAGUAAUUUCAGGCUGGUGUUUCAAAUUUAAAGAAUUCUGGCCACGCGUUUCACUCAGUCUUCUGCCACAACCUGCUAAUAGCUCAUCCUUUGCUGAGUCUUGCGUCCUUAACGAUGGCGGCGGCGGCCACCUCAGCGGCUACCACUAUCCCUAAACCCUCUGCUCACCUUUCUUCUUCCUCCAGAUCUUCAAUCUCCAUUUCCAGAUUCACCCUCCCAUUGUCUCUCAACCCCCAAAAGACCAUUCCCCACCGCUCUCUCCACAUCUCAAACGCCGUAUCUAAACCUACCACCCCUGCCCCCUCCUCCUCCUUCUCCUCCUCCUCCUCCACCUCCACCACCACUCGUCAAGAGUCUCCUCCAAGAUUUUCCCCUGAUGAAGCUCGAAAAGGCGCCGACAUCCUUGUUGAAGCGCUGGAACGCCAAGGGGUCACAGACGUGUUUGCUUAUCCAGGCGGCGCAUCCAUGGAGAUCCACCAAGCCCUAACUCGCUCUCCUAUAAUUCGUAAUGUCCUUCCGCGCCAUGAGCAAGGUGGGGUCUUUGCGGCUGAGGGAUAUGCUCGCGCUUCUGGCAAACCUGGCGUCUGCAUCGCAACCUCGGGACCCGGCGCCACAAAUCUCGUCAGCGGCUUGGCAGACGCUCUCCUUGACAGCGUCCCCAUUGUGGCUAUCACUGGCCAAGUCCCUCGCCGCAUGAUAGGCACCGACGCAUUCCAAGAAACUCCCAUUGUUGAGGUAAGUCGGUCAAUAACCAAGCACAAUUACCUGGUCCUUGAUGUUGAUGAUAUUCCUAGAAUUGUAAGUGAAGCUUUCUUUUUGGCCACCUCGGGACGUCCUGGCCCAGUUCUAAUUGAUGUACCAAAAGAUAUACAACAACAAUUAGCGGUUCCCAAUUGGAAUACACCUAUUAAAUUGCCUGGUUACAUGUCGAGGUUGCCUAAAGUGCCCAAUGAUUCACAUUUGGAGCAGAUUGUGAGGCUAAUUUUUGAGUCAAAGAAACCUGUUUUAUACGUGGGAGGUGGGUGUUUAAAUUCAAGCGAGGAAUUGAGGAAGUUUGUUGAGUUAACUGGGAUCCCAGUGGCUAGUACUUUGAUGGGGCUUGGAGCAUUCCCAGUUGGCCAUGAAUUAUCAUUGCAAAUGCUUGGAAUGCAUGGAACUGUUUAUGCUAACUAUUCAGUGGAUAAGAGUGAUUUGUUGCUUGCAUUUGGGGUAAGGUUUGAUGACAGGGUAACAGGCAAGCUUGAGGCUUUUGCAAGCAGAGCUAAGAUUGUUCAUAUUGAUAUUGACUCCGCUGAGAUUGGGAAGAAUAAGCAGCCCCAUGUGUCUGUUUGUGCAGAUGUGAAUUUUGCGUUACAAGGUAUGAACAAGAUUUUGGAGAGCAGAAAUGCUAAGAGUAAGCUAGAUUUUAGGGCUUGGAGAGAGGAGUUGAAUGAGCAAAAGAGUAAAUAUCCAUUGAAAUAUAAGACUUUUGGACAUGCAAUUCCUCCUCAGUACGCCAUACAAGUUCUUGAUGAGUUAACAAAUGGGAAUGCCAUUAUAAGUACUGGCGUUGGGCAACAUCAGAUGUGGGCUGCUCAAUUUUACAAGUACAAGAGACCACGGCAAUGGUUGACAUCAGGGGGAUUAGGGGCUAUGGGUUUUGGAUUGCCUGCUGCUGUUGGGGCUGCUGUUGCUAAUCCUGGUGCAGUAGUUGUAGAUAUUGAUGGUGAUGGAAGUUUUAUCAUGAAUGUCCAGGAGUUGGCAACUAUUCGUGUGGAGAAUUUGCCCAUCAAAAUAAUGCUUCUGAAUAAUCAGCAUUUAGGAAUGGUGAUGCAAUGGGAGGACCGAUUCUACAAGGCUAAUAGAGCUCAUACUUAUUUGGGGGAUCCAUCAAGAGAAUCUGAGAUUUUCCCCAAUAUGUUGAAGUUUGCUGAAGCUUGUGGAAUACCUGCUGCGCGUGUGACAAGAAAAGAGGAUCUUAGAAUGGCGAUUCAGAAUAUGUUGGAUACUCCUGGGCCAUACUUGUUGGAUGUGAUUGUACCCCAUCAAGAACAUGUGCUGCCCAUGAUCCCAAGUGGGGGGGCUUUUAAAGAUGUGAUAACUGAGGGUGAUGGAAGAACGAAGUAUUGAUCUUUACCAGCAGCAAAUAUGUUAAGGAUUAUGUAUGUUAUGUGGAAUUCCAUGCUUAAAACUAAGGAGUGGCAGGUUUUUUUAAGUUUACUAGUUAGUUAUUUAAUAGUAUCGAUGGUUGUUGUUUGGAUGAAACUUGUGUAUCUGCUUUGUUCUUGUCAGUUUUGCUAAUUUGAACAAGUAGUUUGUUUUUUAACUUCUACGCCUUUAGAAUAUUCUAAUUGCAUUUUUAGGGAAUAAAGUAUAAUCAAUGGAUGGAACUCUUACUGGUUGUUGAUUCCCUAAAUCGAGUAAUAUGCCAUUUUUAGAUGCAUGAUGCAAUUGGUUUGGACAUAUUUGAGCUUGCGAUUGACAUGUUAUCAACUUGGGUUGAAUCAUCUUCCUGUCUUGACUAUUGUAGUGGAAUUACUAGAUAACACGUGUUGAAGAUUACAAUUUGAAACUUGCUUUCCUCGACACGGUUAACCAAAUAGAUUGGCGUUGGAAUCUGUUCAUUUCUAGCUGUUAUCUGGUUUUACAUCAUUUUCUAUGGAUUUAUGGCUUUUCCUUUCAUUAGUAGAUUUGACACUGUGUAUGCCUGCCUUGCUGAUUGGAUUUUCCAACAUUAUGUCAACUGCAGGACGAGGUUUAGUGUGUUGAGCCACUGAAGUUUUGUCUUGGUAUGAGGUUAGCGGGGUAACAGCCAAUAACCAUAUCAUCACUAAAUGUAUUUCUAUAUAUUAUUAUUACUAGCUAAUUACCACGCUAUACUAUGUCAACUUAAAUAAAAUAAAAUUAAUAGUAAAUGGUAGAAUUUAUGGACAAGUAAAAAAAAAAAA